GUAGGGAAUAUUGCGCAAUGGACGAAAGUCUGACGCAGCGACGCCGCGUAAGUGAUGAAGGCCUUAGGGUCGUAAAGCUCUGUUGAAUGGGAAGAAAAAAAUGACGGUACCAUUCGAGGAAGGACCGGCUAACUUCGUGCCAGCAGCCGCGGUAAUACGAGGGGUCCUAGCGUUGUUCGGAAUCAUUGGGCGUAAAGGGUGUGUAGGUGGCCAUGUAAGUCAGGUGUGAAAGCCCCGGGCUCAACCCGGGAAGUGCACUUGAUACUGCGUGGCUUGAGUACCGAAGAGGGUAGUGGAAUUCCAGGUGUAGUGGUGAAAUACGUAGAUAUCUGGAGGAACACCGGUGGCGAAGGCGGCUACCUGGUCGAGUACUGACACUGAGACACGAAAGCAUGGGGAUCAAACAGGAUUAGAAACCCGGGUAGUCC
RNAcentral lists this ribosomal RNA (428 nucleotides) under uncultured bacterium. RNAcentral describes it as "partial 16S ribosomal RNA". It matches the Rfam family "Bacterial small subunit ribosomal RNA", at positions 354 to 796 of the family's 1533-position model. The record is from RNAcentral.